GGCGGUGGGGGGGUGUAUUGCCUGAGCGCCGGCCAACAGCUUUGGCAGACAGGGACCCUUCAAAUCUUUGAAAUAUUCAUACGCCACUGCAGGGUUAUCCCCCAUUUACAAAUAAGUGUUAUUCUAGCGGCUGAGGGAGUGAUGCUGGGAGACCUCUGCUGCCUCUUCAGCUCAAGAGGCUCCUCCAGCAGCCAAUCCCGGGCAAAAUUUAGCCCUAUAUGUUUGACUUUCUGCAGGGCUGGCUGCUGCAGGCAAAUACACCACUCACUGCUGAAUUCUUCUCUUCUUAAAAAUGUUUGCUCAGUGUUUUUGCAGUUUAAUCUCCUGCAGAGCUGCAUGUUGCAAAUAGAAAAAUAUUGGGUUUUUUUUUUUACUCACCUGCAUUUGCCCAGAUGAUGGAUCUUUAACUCAAAUAUCCAAAAUCACGUCAUAGCAAUAAAGCGCUCCUAAAAUGCUGCUAAAUUUUAGAUCUUUUCUUUACAUCUACUUCCUGAUAGUGCAUGGUUGCAAGGUAAACAUGUUUUUUUUUUUUAUUUAAUGUGCUGCGCUUUCACAAUAAUUUUGCAUCAUCUUAACAUUGUGUGAUUUAAACUCAAUUUUUUUUUGCAUUUGUUGAUGUCUGACAAGAUUUAAGUUGAACUAAUUUAAUUAAAUCGACUUUUUUUAAAAGCAUUUUUGUAGACUGAACGAAUACAAAGCAAAGGACAGUGCAGGUGAGAAUCAAGUCUUGUAUAAAUGCAAAUGAAUUUCUUGGCAAAUAAUAUUGCAUCAACUUAAUAUGUGUAACUUAAACUCAAAUCCAUGCCUUUGUUGAUUUAUGACACGUUUUAAGUUGAGCUAACUUAAUUAAAUUGGCUUGAUAACCUUUUUAGGCUGGACAAAUAUUACACAAAGGACAAUUAAAGGCUGAACAAAUAUGGCACAAAGGACAAUUAAAGUUUCAGGCUGAACAAACAGGACAAUUAAAG
This is an RNA transcript of Acanthochromis polyacanthus (spiny chromis), 968 nucleotides long. It is a transcript of the gene named DMRT-like family A2, with no coding region annotated. The transcript is spliced from 3 exons. The record is from RefSeq and is a predicted model, not a curated record. Lineage: Eukaryota; Metazoa; Chordata; Actinopteri; Pomacentridae.